Molecule: long non-coding RNA, 257 nt
Filed under: Carica papaya (papaya)
Lineage: Eukaryota; Viridiplantae; Streptophyta; Magnoliopsida; Brassicales; Caricaceae
Description: long non-coding RNA (CPAP_LNC008105)
Source: RNAcentral
UUUGCAUGUUACAUGCUCGAUACAACCUUUGCCAAAUCCAAUAAGAUCCCACAACAUAUUCGGCCCGAAGGCCCAUUUUCAUAUAUCCAACCAGGCCCAUUUCAUAAAUCUGGCUCCAAAGUCCAUUUAUCCUGACUUAACCUUCGGGGUAUCCUCUUAAGUGAAGACCCACUAGAAUAACCCUCUUCGCCCAUUAUCGAGGUAAAGCGAAAGGCUAAACUUGCAUGCAAUUUCCAAUUAUCAUAUUUUCAUACAUC